AUACUUACCUGGUACAGAGAAAACCGUGAUCAAAAAUGGCGGUUUCCCC
Molecule: small nuclear RNA, 49 nt
Filed under: Siliqua patula
Lineage: Eukaryota; Metazoa; Mollusca; Bivalvia; Adapedonta; Pharidae
Description: partial u1 snRNA
Source: RNAcentral